RNAcentral lists this transfer-messenger RNA (354 nucleotides) under Paenirhodobacter enshiensis. Its description in RNAcentral is "Rhodobacter sp. DW2-9 Alphaproteobacteria transfer-messenger RNA". It matches the Rfam family "Alphaproteobacteria transfer-messenger RNA". Rfam says of the family: Bacterial tmRNA, also known as 10Sa RNA or SsrA, is named for its dual tRNA and mRNA-like properties. Lineage: Bacteria; Pseudomonadati; Pseudomonadota; Alphaproteobacteria; Rhodobacterales. The record is from Rfam by way of RNAcentral.
CCCCUUGAACUUCCCCGCGCCGCCCACUACCUUGGCUGUGUCAGCGCAAGCUGACUACGCUCGUAGACCGACCAUUGACUACCUUUGCAGGACGGGGGUGCGAUACCCCCCGCCUCCACCAAUCAACGGAUCAUUGCCGUGGCUUGGGGGCGAAACAGGAUCGACUGGGGGGGAAAGGUGACUCGUGCGGGCCGGUGAGCUACCACCGUUAUCGGUGCAAGCAUGAUAGUUGCCAAUGACAACCGUGCUCCGGUGGCUCUGGCUGCGUAAGCAGUUCGAGUACCGAAAACUAAGUCCUGUCCUCUAGCCAGGCCAGGCGGGGUUCGCAGGUACCUGGCAACAGAAACCUGCACU